Molecule: ribosomal RNA, 492 nt
Filed under: uncultured bacterium
Lineage: Bacteria
Description: partial 16S ribosomal RNA
Rfam family: Bacterial small subunit ribosomal RNA
Source: RNAcentral
AGUGAACGCUGGCGGUAGGCCUAACACAUGCAAGUCGAACGGCAGCACAGUAAGAGCUUGCUCUUACGGGUGGCGAGUGGCGGACGGGUGAGGAAUACAUCGGAAUCUACUUUUUCGUGGGGGAUAACGUAGGGAAACUUACGCUAAUACCGCAUACGACCUACGGGUGAAAGCAGUGGAUCUUCGGACCUUGCGCGAUUGAAUGAGCCGAUGUCGGAUUAGCUAGUUGGCGGGGUAAAGGCACACCAAGGCGACGAUCCGUAGCCGGCCUGAGAGGAUGAUCAGCCACACUGGAACUGAGACACGGUCCAGACUCCUACGGGAGGCAGCAGUGGGGAAUAUUGGACAAUGGGCGCAAGCCUGAUCCAGCCAUACCGCGUGGGUGAAGAAGGCCUUCGGGUUGUAAAGCCCUUUUGUUGGGAAAGAAAAGCAGCAGGUUAAUACCCCGCUGUUCUGACGGUACCCAAAGAAUAAGCACCGGCUAACUUCGUG